RNAcentral lists this ribosomal RNA (654 nucleotides) under uncultured bacterium. RNAcentral describes it as "bacterial SSU rRNA". It matches the Rfam family "Bacterial small subunit ribosomal RNA", at positions 94 to 743 of the family's 1533-position model. The record is from RNAcentral.
AGCGGCGGACGGGUGAGUAACGCGUAGGAAUCUACCUAGUAGAAGGGGAUAGCCCGGGGAAACUCGGAUUAAUACCGUAUACCUCCUUAGGGAGAAAGAGGGCCUCUCUUUGAUGCUUUCGCUACUAGAUGAGCCUGCGUAAGAUUAGCUAGUUGGUGAGGUAAUGGCUCACCAAGGCGACGAUCUUUAGCUGGUCUGAGAGGACGAUCAGCCACAUUGGGACUGAGACACGGCCCAGACUCCUACGGGAGGCAGCAGUAGGGAAUAUUGGACAAUGAGCGCAAGCUUGAUCCAGCCAUACCGCGUGUGUGAAGAAGGCCUUCGGGUUGUAAAGCACUUUAAGCAGGGAGAAAAAGUUAUAGGUUAAUACCCUAUGACCGUGAUGUUACCUGCAGAAUAAGCACCGGCUAAUUCCGUGCCAGCAGCCGCGGUAAUACGGAAGGUGCAAGCGUUAAUCGGAAUUACUGGGCGUAAAGCGCGCGUAGGUGGUUUGUUAAGUUGGAUGUGAAAGCCCUGGGCUCAACCUAGGAACUGCAUCCAAAACUAACUCACUAGAGUACGAUAGAGGGAGGUAGAAUUCAUAGUGUAGCGGUGGAAUGCGUAGAUAUUAUGAAGAAUACCAGUGGCGAAGGCGGCCUCCUGGAUCUGUACUGA